UCCCUGGUGGUCCAGUGGCUAAGACAUUCUGCUUCCAAUGCAGGGAGCCCAGGUUCAAUCCCUGGUCAGGACA
Molecule: transfer RNA, 73 nt
Filed under: Bos taurus (domestic cattle)
Lineage: Eukaryota; Metazoa; Chordata; Mammalia; Artiodactyla; Bovidae
Also listed under: 2 other names
Rfam family: tRNA
About the family: Transfer RNA (tRNA) molecules are approximately 80 nucleotides in length.
Source: Rfam by way of RNAcentral